Molecule: ribosomal RNA, 497 nt
Filed under: uncultured bacterium
Lineage: Bacteria
Description: partial 16S ribosomal RNA
Rfam family: Bacterial small subunit ribosomal RNA
Source: RNAcentral
GACGAACGCUGGCGGCGUGCCUAAUACAUGCAAGUUGAGCGCUGAAGGUUGGUACUUGUACCAACUGGAUGAGCAGCGAACGGGUGAGUAACGCGUGGGGAAUCUGCCUUUGAGCGGGGGACAACAUUUGGAAACGAAUGCUAAUGCCGCAUAAAAACUUUAAACACAAGUUUUAAGUUUGAAAGAUGCAAUUGCAUCACUCAAAGAUGAUCCCGCGUUGUAUUAGCUAGUUGGUGAGGUAAAGGCUCACCAAGGCGAUGAUACAUAGCCGACCUGAGAGGGUGAUCGGCCACAUUGGGACUGAGACACGGCCCAAACUCCUACGGGAGGCAGCAGUAGGGAAUCUUCGGCAAUGGACGAAAGUCUGACCGAGCAACGCCGCGUGAGUGAAGAAGGUUUUCGGAUCGUAAAACUCGGUUGGUAGAGAAGAACGUUGGUGAGAGUGGAAAGCUCAUCAAGUGACGGUAACUACCCAGAAAGGGACGGCUAACUACGUG